This 241-nucleotide ribosomal RNA is filed under the name uncultured bacterium. RNAcentral's name for it is "partial 16S ribosomal RNA". It matches the Rfam family "Bacterial small subunit ribosomal RNA", at positions 118 to 347 of the family's 1533-position model. The record is from RNAcentral.
UGGGUAACCUGCCUCAAAGAGGGGAAUAGCCUCCCGAAAGGGAGAUUAAUACCGCAUAAUAUGUUUAAGUCGCAUGACUUUAACAUCAAAGGAUUUUCUUUUAGAACUUCCACUUUGAGAUGGACCCGCGGCGCAUUAGCUAGUUGGUGAGGUAACGGCUCACCAAGGCAACGAUGCGUAGCCGACCUGAGAGGGUGAUCGGCCACAUUGGAACUGAGACACGGCCCAGACUCCUAGGGAG